AUGAAAGGGAGGAGAUGGCCUGAUAAUACUAGUUGCUCUUUUUGUAACAACCUAGAAACAUCCCAACAUUUGUUCUUCACUUGUCUUGUUGCUAAAGUUGUGUGGAGUUGUAUUGGGAUGACAUUGGGCACAUAUAGUUGUCCAAACAACUACUGGCAAUAUUACUCUUGGUGCAACACUUUUCUCCCUGUCGGAGAGAAGUAUUAUACCCUCGGCUUGGCUGCCGCGUGUUGGGCUAUCUACUUGCUCGCAAUUGGGCUACUUUUGAGAAAAAACAAAUCAAAACACCUUCCGAGAUUGUUUUCUCCAUGUGUUCCUUUCUCAUUUAUUGGACAGGUCUUCAGAGUGACGGAGGAGCCAAGGAGCUGCGGGGAGGCGCAGAGAUGA
RNAcentral lists this ribosomal RNA (387 nucleotides) under Triticum aestivum (bread wheat). Its description in RNAcentral is "partial small subunit ribosomal RNA". Lineage: Eukaryota; Viridiplantae; Streptophyta; Magnoliopsida; Poales; Poaceae. The record is from RNAcentral.